CCGGUAAACGGCGGCCGUAACUAUAACGGUCCUAAGGUAGCGAAAUUCCUUGUCGGGUAAGUUCCGACCUGCACGAAUGGCGUAAUGAUGGCCAGGCUGUCUCCACCCGAGACUCAGUGAAAUUGAACUCGCUGUGAAGAUGCAGUGUACCCGCGGCAAGACGGAAAGACCCCGUGAACCUUUACUAUAGCUUGACACUGAACAUUGAGCCUUGAUGUGUAGGAUAGGUGGGAGGCUUUGAAGUGUGGACGCCAGUCUGCAUGGAGCCGACCUUGAAAUACCACCCUUUAAUGUUUGAUGUUCUAACGUUGACCCGUAAUCCGGGUUGCGGACAGUGUCUGGUGGGUAGUUUGACUGGGGCGGUCUCCUCCUAAAGAGUAACGGAGGAGCACGAAGGUUGGCUAAUCCUGGUCGGACAUCAGGAGGUUAGUGCAAUGGCAUAAGCCAGCUUGACUGCGAGCGUGACGGCGCGAGCAGGUGCGAAAGCAGGUCAUAGUGAUCCGGUGGUUCUGAAUGGAAGGGCCAUCGCUCAACGGAUAAAAGGUACUCCGGGGAUAACAGGCUGAUACCGCCCAAGAGUUCAUAUCGACGGCGGUGUUUGGCACCUCGAUGUCGGCUCAUCACAUCCUGGGGCUGAAGUAGGUCCCAAGGGUAUGGCUGUUCGCCAUUUAAAGUGGUACGCGAGCUGGGUUUAGAACGUCGUGAGACAGUUCGGUCCCUAUCUGCCGU
Molecule: ribosomal RNA, 729 nt
Filed under: Escherichia coli
Lineage: Bacteria; Pseudomonadati; Pseudomonadota; Gammaproteobacteria; Enterobacterales; Enterobacteriaceae
Description: partial 23S ribosomal RNA
Rfam family: Bacterial large subunit ribosomal RNA
Source: RNAcentral